Molecule: long non-coding RNA, 226 nt
Filed under: Populus tremula
Lineage: Eukaryota; Viridiplantae; Streptophyta; Magnoliopsida; Malpighiales; Salicaceae
Description: long non-coding RNA (PTRE_LNC001200)
Source: RNAcentral
AUGCAUCCCCAAGAGUGAUCUCAUCAAAGCCUUCAACUUUCAUCACUUCCGCAUACAACGCAUUAACAUCAAGUUGAUUUUUGCUGAGACUUUGAAUUGCAAAUGCUACAUCUCCAAUCUGUUUAGACAACUUUUCAACACCAUCAUCUUCAUACAUGCGAUUUCUCUUCCUAUGUUGCCUCUUUUGUGUACUAGAGGAAGAUGUCUCUUUUCCCUUUGAAGUUUC